Molecule: ribosomal RNA, 853 nt
Filed under: uncultured Neocallimastigales
Lineage: Eukaryota; Fungi; Neocallimastigomycota; Neocallimastigomycetes; Neocallimastigales
Description: partial large subunit ribosomal RNA
Rfam family: Eukaryotic large subunit ribosomal RNA
Source: RNAcentral
UACACGCUGUGACUAGCAUAUCAAUAAGCGGAGGAAAAGUCAGGCUACCUACGCUUAGGAUGUUGACGAGACUGUCGAUCUCAUCAAUACAUGACUCUGUGCAUAUCAAUAAGCGGAGGAAAAGAAACUAACAAGGAUUCCCUUAGUAACGGCGAGUGAAGCGGGAAGAGCUCAAAUUUGAAAUCUUCAAGGUUUUACCUUGACGAAUUGUAGUUUAAAGAAGUGUUUUCUGCUGAAGUUUUGGUAAAAGUUCUUUGGAAUAGGACAUCAUAGAGGGUGAGAAUCCCGUAUUUGACCAUUAUUUUCAGCUUUGUGAUACACUUUCAAAGAGUCGGAUUGUUUGGGAAUGCAGUCCAAAAUGGGUGGUAAAUUUCUUCUAAGGCUAAAUAUUGGCGAGAGACCGAUAGCGAACAAGUACCGUGAGGGAAAGAUGAAAAGAACUUUGAAAAGAGAGUUAAAUAGUACGUGAAAUUGUCAAAAGGGAAGCGUUUAACACCAGUGUUGUUUUCUGAAAAUCAACCUCUGUUAGCUUUAUGCAUGUUUGUUUAGACCUAAUCAGCUAUCUUGCAUGUUCUAUUGUUUGCAGUGGUGCACUUUUCAGUUUACAGGUCAACAUCAGUUUUUUUACCGUAAAAAGUUAAAGAAAGGUAGCUCAUGGCUCCGGUCGUGAGUGUUAUAGUCUUUUUCCUAUGCGGUAGGAGAGACUGAGGUCUGCAGUGUAGGCUAUUUGGCUAGAUACUCAGGUGCUAUGUGAGACCAUUUCAUAAACAACUUGUUGAUUAUGUUUUGUCUAUUGCAUACUCGCUUGUACUAUCAUACCUACGCUUAGGAUGUUGAGUAGCGACAUACGCAC